CAUUAAUAUCCCGCUCUAGAAAUUCUUCUCUUUCUCUCUCUCCUCUAAAACAGAAGAACUUUCCUACCUCUCUCUCCUCUCUGUUUUCUUUGUUGGUUCAGUGCAGGGAAAAUGCAAGAACAGGCAACCAGCUCCAUGGCAGCUAGCUCCAUACCUUCUAGCAGUGAAAGAUCUUCUAGCUCUGCCCUUCAGCUUGAAGCCAAAGAAGGCAUGGAGAGCGACGAUGAGAUCAGGAGAGUACCCGAGAUCGGCGGGGAAGCCGCCGGCACGGCAUCCGGGCGGGAAGCCAGUUCGGCAGCCGGUCCGAACCGGGUUCAGGGCUCUUCAGAGGGUUUGAGGAAGAGGGGUAGAAGCCCGGCCGAUAAAGAGCACAAGCGCCUGAAGAGAUUGCUGAGGAAUAGAGUUUCAGCACAACAAGCAAGGGAAAGGAAGAAGGCAUACCUAACAGAGUUGGAGGCAAGAGUGAAAGACUUGGAAAAGAAGAACUGUGAGAUGGAGGAGAGGCUGUCCACAUUGCAGAAUGAAAACCAGAUGCUAAGACAAAUAGGCAUUCCUAACAAUAUGAUCAUCAUGGCAUGCCGUUAUCGACCCGCAAUCAUUGGGAGCAGCCUUCUCGAAAUGUAAUUUGGGCAUUUAAAUGUGUACACCAUUAAGAAUGGAACAUGUGUGACCAUUGGAAGCUUUUGUAGAUAGUCAUCCUCCACGCAACAGAUUAUAUACUGAAGAACACAACAGCGGGCAUGCAAGAAGGCAGGAAGUAGGGUCCAAAUGUAGAUUACCAUGUAAUAAUGCAAUGAAGGAAAUGAUUAUAGAGUGCAGAAUCUGGUAUUUUGUUUACCAAAUUACUUCCUGUCGAAUGGCGUCGUCUGAAGAUUAUGGUCUGGUUAUUAGACUUGCAAUCUAGAAGCAAUGGCAUCCUUCUUGCUGAAGGAUUCAAAUUGGAUAUUUCGCGUUUUUUUCUUGGAAAAUGCUGGCUAGAGCACCUCUAGCCGUUACUCUCUUCCAAAUUCAUCGCGUGAAAUCAAAAUUUGAGUGAAUCGCUCAAUUCUUUUCGGGGGAAUGGGCGAUCCUUUGGAGGUUUAAGCAAAUAGUAUAUCAAUUUGAAGUCUUUGCUAUUUGAA
Molecule: RNA transcript, 1121 nt
Organism: Rhododendron vialii
Lineage: Eukaryota; Viridiplantae; Streptophyta; Magnoliopsida; Ericales; Ericaceae
Gene name: transcription factor HY5
Exons: 5
Source: RefSeq, a predicted model, not a curated record